GGUUUCUCUGUGUAGCUUUGUCUGUCCUCGAACUCACUCUGUAGACCAGGCUGGCCUUGAACUCACAGAGCUCUGCUUGCCUCUGUCUCCCAAGUGCUGGGAUCAAAGGCAUGCACCAGCACUGCCC
This 127-nucleotide microRNA precursor is filed under the name Cricetulus griseus (Chinese hamster). RNAcentral's name for it is "miRNA (ENSCGRG00000021568.1)". The record is from RNAcentral. Lineage: Eukaryota; Metazoa; Chordata; Mammalia; Rodentia; Cricetidae.